Molecule: ribosomal RNA, 253 nt
Filed under: uncultured bacterium
Lineage: Bacteria
Description: partial 16S ribosomal RNA
Rfam family: Bacterial small subunit ribosomal RNA
Source: RNAcentral
UACGUAGGGUGCGAGCGUUGCCCGGAUUUAUUGGGCGUAAAGGGCGCGUAGGCGGUGAGAUGCGUCCGUUGUGAAAUCGCCCGGCUCAACUGGGCGGGGUCAGCGGAUACGGUCUCACUUGAGCAAGCUAGGGGGCAAUGGAAUUCCCGGUGUAGUGGUGGAAUGCGUAGAUAUCGUAAGGAAGACCAGUGGCGAAGGCGGGUCUCUGGACAGUUCCUGACGCUGAGGCACGAAGGUCAGGGGAGCAAACGGG